AAGACCUAUAGGACUCUAACCCACAUCUGCUGAUUGCAAUCCAACUGCUUUAAUUAAACUAAGGCCUCA
Molecule: transfer RNA, 69 nt
Filed under: Pachydactylus tigrinus
Lineage: Eukaryota; Metazoa; Chordata; Lepidosauria; Squamata; Gekkonidae
Description: tRNA-Ala
Source: RNAcentral